GACGAACGCUGGCGGCGUGCUUAACACAUGCAAGUCGAACGGAAAGGCCCUGCUUUUGUGGGGUGCUCGAGUGGCGAACGGGUGAGUAACACGUGAGUAACCUGCCCUUGACUUUGGGAUAACUUCAGGAAACUGGGGCUAAUACCGGAUAGGAGCUCCUGCUGCAUGGUGGGGGUUGGAAAGUUUCGGCGGUUGGGGAUGGACUUGCGGCUUAUCAGCUUGUUGGUGGGGUAGUUGCUUACCAAGGCUUUUACGGGUAGCCGGCCUGAGAGGGUGACCGGACACAUUGGGACUGAGAUACGGCCCAGACUCCUACGGGAGGCAGCAGUGGGGAAUAUUGCACAAUGGGCGGAAGCCUGAUGCAGCAACGCCGCGUGCGGGAUGACGGCCUUCGGGUUGUAAACCGCUUUCGCCUGUGACGAAGCGUGAGUGACGGUAAUGGGUAAAGAAGCACCGGCUAACUACGUG
This 468-nucleotide ribosomal RNA is filed under the name uncultured bacterium. RNAcentral describes it as "partial 16S ribosomal RNA". It matches the Rfam family "Bacterial small subunit ribosomal RNA", at positions 28 to 507 of the family's 1533-position model. The record is from RNAcentral.